Molecule: long non-coding RNA, 474 nt
Organism: Hemiscyllium ocellatum (epaulette shark)
Lineage: Eukaryota; Metazoa; Chordata; Chondrichthyes; Orectolobiformes; Hemiscylliidae
Exons: 3
Source: RefSeq, a predicted model, not a curated record
CCAAGGUCCAUUUUCAGUGGGAUGAACACCAGUCAUUUGUCUCGCUGGUAACGUCAUGAUGGCUGAUCCUGAGUAGGAAGAGGUGACAAAUUCCAAAUGAAAAAGAUGAAAGUUGAGAACGAAAUAGGCAUGGGAGAGUUGGAAAGAGCUGCAUUUAAUCAGCAAAGACCUGAAGAAACAGGAGAGCAUGAUGUGCUUUGUGGAGACAGUGUUGUGGCACAGUGCCCCUAUCUCUGAGCCAGGAAGCUUGGACUCAAGUUCCACCUACUCCAUAGAUGUGUAAUAAUUAGAGGUUGAUUUGAAAAUAUCUGAAGUGAAGGUGAAUGAUCGGAUGGAGGAGUACGCAGGCUGUCAAAGUUGCUACCCUCCAAAGGUGCAGCGCUCUGCAAGUUUGUACUUCCAAGUAACCCAGUGUUGAGUGAUUUUUAACUUUGUCCACCCCAGUCCAACACCGGCACCCUCUACAUCAUAUCU